This 129-nucleotide ribosomal RNA is filed under the name uncultured bacterium. RNAcentral describes it as "partial 16S ribosomal RNA". It matches the Rfam family "Bacterial small subunit ribosomal RNA", at positions 375 to 523 of the family's 1533-position model. The record is from RNAcentral.
GCGAAGCCUGAUCCGCCAUGCCGCGUGAGUGAUGAAGGCCUUAGGGUUGUAAAGCUCUUUCACCGGGGAAGAUAAUGACGGUGCCCGUAGAAGAAGCCCCGGCUAACUUCGUGCCAGCACCCGCGGUAA